RNAcentral lists this unclassified non-coding RNA (200 nucleotides) under Chaetosphaeria sp. RNAcentral describes it as "partial internal transcribed spacer 2". The record is from RNAcentral. Lineage: Eukaryota; Fungi; Ascomycota; Sordariomycetes; Chaetosphaeriales; Chaetosphaeriaceae.
UUAAGUUCAGCGGGUAUUCCUACCUGAUCCGAGGUCAACCUUGAUAUAAAGAGGCUUGUGGCAGGCGCCCGUCCAGCACCCGAAGCGACGUAAAGUACUACGCUCGGAGCCGGGGCCGGGGCCGCCGCUGUCUUUCGGGGGCUGCGGUGCGCAGGCCCCCAACACCAGGCGGAGCCUGAGGGUGGAAAUGACGCUCGAAC